This 782-nucleotide long non-coding RNA is filed under the name Mytilus galloprovincialis (Mediterranean mussel). The record is from RNAcentral. Lineage: Eukaryota; Metazoa; Mollusca; Bivalvia; Mytilida; Mytilidae.
GUUGACCCCUGAAGGAGUUAUUGCCCUUUAUAGUCAAUUUUUAACCAUUUUUUUCGUAAAUCUUAGUAAUCUUUUACAAAAGUCUUCUUCUCUGAAACUACUGGGCCAAAUUAAAGUAAACUAAACUUGGCCACAAUUAUCAUUGGGGUAACUUGUUUAAAAAAUGUGUGGCGUGACCUGGCCAAUCAACCAAAAUGGCUGCCACGGCUAAUAAUAGAACAUAGGGGUAAAAUGCAGUUUUUGGCUUAUAACUCAAAAACCGAAGCAUUAAGAGAAAAUCUGACAGGGUUUAAUUGUUUAUUAGGUCAAGAUCUAUCUGCCCUGAUGUUUUCACGUGGAUCGGACAACCCGUUGUUAGGUUACUGUCCUGAAUUGGUAAUUUUAAGGAAAUUUUGCCGUUUUUUGUUAUUAUCUUGAAUAUUAUUAUAGAUAGAGAUAAACUGUAUACAGCAAUAACGUUCAGCAAAUAAGAUCUACAAAUAAGUUUACAUGACCAAUAUAGUCAAUUGACCCCUUAAGGAGUUAUUGCCCUUUACAGUUAAUUUUUAACAUUUUUCAUAAAUUUUUGUAAAUUUUUUGAAAAUAUUUUCCACUGUAAUUACUGGGCCAAGUUCAUUAUAGAUAGAGAUAAUUGUAGCAACAAGAAUGUUCAGUAAAGUAAGAUCUACAAACACAUCACUAUCACCAAAACACAAUUAUGUCAUGAAUUUAUCCGUGUCCAUUGUUUAAUAUGCACAAGACCAAGGUGAGCGACACAGGCUCUUUAGAGCCUCUAGUUAUAC